This 91-nucleotide microRNA precursor is filed under the name Canis lupus dingo (dingo). RNAcentral describes it as "mir-8799 microRNA precursor family". It matches the Rfam family "mir-8799 microRNA precursor family". The record is from Rfam by way of RNAcentral. Lineage: Eukaryota; Metazoa; Chordata; Mammalia; Carnivora; Canidae.
CGGGGGAGGCCGGAUCCUGGGCUGUGUCCCGGCGCCCUGUGCUCCGGGGUCUGCGCUGUUGGAUUCGCGCUCCCGGGCCGCGCAACCCCCU